RNAcentral lists this ribosomal RNA (1541 nucleotides) under Salmonella enterica. RNAcentral describes it as "16S ribosomal RNA". It matches the Rfam family "Bacterial small subunit ribosomal RNA". RNAcentral also lists the same sequence under 2 other names. The record is from RNAcentral. Lineage: Bacteria; Pseudomonadati; Pseudomonadota; Gammaproteobacteria; Enterobacterales; Enterobacteriaceae.
AAAUUGAAGAGUUUGAUCAUGGCUCAGAUUGAACGCUGGCGGCAGGCCUAACACAUGCAAGUCGAACGGUAACAGGAAGCAGCUUGCUGCUUUGCUGACGAGUGGCGGACGGGUGAGUAAUGUCUGGGAAACUGCCUGAUGGAGGGGGAUAACUACUGGAAACGGUGGCUAAUACCGCAUAACGUCGCAAGACCAAAGAGGGGGACCUUCGGGCCUCUUGCCAUCAGAUGUGCCCAGAUGGGAUUAGCUUGUUGGUGAGGUAACGGCUCACCAAGGCGACGAUCCCUAGCUGGUCUGAGAGGAUGACCAGCCACACUGGAACUGAGACACGGUCCAGACUCCUACGGGAGGCAGCAGUGGGGAAUAUUGCACAAUGGGCGCAAGCCUGAUGCAGCCAUGCCGCGUGUAUGAAGAAGGCCUUCGGGUUGUAAAGUACUUUCAGCGGGGAGGAAGGUGUUGUGGUUAAUAACCGCAGCAAUUGACGUUACCCGCAGAAGAAGCACCGGCUAACUCCGUGCCAGCAGCCGCGGUAAUACGGAGGGUGCAAGCGUUAAUCGGAAUUACUGGGCGUAAAGCGCACGCAGGCGGUCUGUCAAGUCGGAUGUGAAAUCCCCGGGCUCAACCUGGGAACUGCAUUCGAAACUGGCAGGCUUGAGUCUUGUAGAGGGGGUAGAAUUCCAGGUGUAGCGGUGAAAUGCGUAGAGAUCUGGAGGAAUACCGGUGGCGAAGGCGGCCCCCUGGACAAAGACUGACGCUCAGGUGCGAAAGCGUGGGGAGCAAACAGGAUUAGAUACCCUGGUAGUCCACGCCGUAAACGAUGUCUACUUGGAGGUUGUGCCCUUGAGGCGUGGCUUCCGGAGCUAACGCGUUAAGUAGACCGCCUGGGGAGUACGGCCGCAAGGUUAAAACUCAAAUGAAUUGACGGGGGCCCGCACAAGCGGUGGAGCAUGUGGUUUAAUUCGAUGCAACGCGAAGAACCUUACCUGGUCUUGACAUCCACAGAAGAAUCCAGAGAUGGAUUUGUGCCUUCGGGAACUGUGAGACAGGUGCUGCAUGGCUGUCGUCAGCUCGUGUUGUGAAAUGUUGGGUUAAGUCCCGCAACGAGCGCAACCCUUAUCCUUUGUUGCCAGCGGUUAGGCCGGGAACUCAAAGGAGACUGCCAGUGAUAAACUGGAGGAAGGUGGGGAUGACGUCAAGUCAUCAUGGCCCUUACGACCAGGGCUACACACGUGCUACAAUGGCGCAUACAAAGAGAAGCGACCUCGCGAGAGCAAGCGGACCUCAUAAAGUGCGUCGUAGUCCGGAUUGGAGUCUGCAACUCGACUCCAUGAAGUCGGAAUCGCUAGUAAUCGUGGAUCAGAAUGCCACGGUGAAUACGUUCCCGGGCCUUGUACACACCGCCCGUCACACCAUGGGAGUGGGUUGCAAAAGAAGUAGGUAGCUUAACCUUCGGGAGGGCGCUUACCACUUUGUGAUUCAUGACUGGGGUGAAGUCGUAACAAGGUAACCGUAGGGGAACCUGCGGUUGGAUCACCUCCUUA